Molecule: ribosomal RNA, 253 nt
Filed under: uncultured bacterium
Lineage: Bacteria
Description: partial 16S ribosomal RNA
Rfam family: Bacterial small subunit ribosomal RNA
Source: RNAcentral
UACAGAGGUCCCAAGCGUUGUUCGGAUUCACUGGGCGUAAAGGGUGCGUAGGUGGUGAGGUAAGUCGGAUGUGAAAGCUCCGAGCUCAACUCGGAAAUGGCAUUGGAAACUACCUUGCUAGAGGGUUUGAGGGGGGACCGGAAUACUUGGUGUAGCAGUGAAAUGCGUAGAUAUCAAGUAGAACACCAGUGGCGAAGGCGAGUCCCUGGAAAACUCCUGACACUGAGGCACGAAAGCUAGGGGAGCAAACAGG